RNAcentral lists this ribosomal RNA (297 nucleotides) under uncultured Pseudomonadota bacterium. Its description in RNAcentral is "uncultured proteobacterium partial 16S ribosomal RNA". It matches the Rfam family "Bacterial small subunit ribosomal RNA", at positions 29 to 351 of the family's 1533-position model. The record is from RNAcentral. Lineage: Bacteria; Pseudomonadati; Pseudomonadota.
AGCGAACGCUGGCGGCAGGCCUAACACAUGCAAGUCGAGCGCCUGUAGCAAUACAGGAGCGGCAGACGGGAGAGUAACACGUGGGAACGUACCUUUCAGUUCGGAACAACCAAGGGAAACUUUGGCUAAUACCGGAUACGCCCGUAAGGGGAAAGAUUUAUCGCUGAAAGAUCGGCCCGCGUCUGAUUAGCUAGUUGGUGGGGUAAUGGCCCACCAAGGCUACGAUCAGUAGCUGGUCUGAGAGGAUGAUCAGCCUCACUGGGACUGAGACACGGCCCAGACUCCUACGGGAGGCAG